Molecule: long non-coding RNA, 2191 nt
Filed under: Mus musculus (house mouse)
Lineage: Eukaryota; Metazoa; Chordata; Mammalia; Rodentia; Muridae
Description: long non-coding RNA chr9:110043524-110045715
Source: RNAcentral
GUGGUGGCGCAUGCCUUUGAUCCCAGCACUCGGGAGGCAGAGGCAGGUGGAUUUCUUAGUUUGAGGCCAGCCUGGUCUACAGAGUGAGCUCCAGGACAGCCAGGGCUACACAGAGAAACCCUGUCUCGAAAAAUCAAAAAAAAAAAAAAAGUUAUUGAGGAUUACUGUCUCUGUUUGUCUUGUAGUCAAAUGGUGUUGCACAUGGAUUUCAAUCUUAUAGUGCCGGUGUUAUGUUAGUUCAGUAGGUAAAGGUGCUUGCUGCUGAGGCAGAUGACCUGAAUUUGAUUUUCAUUGUUGCAUGACAAUGGACUUAUAGGAGAGAAUGGACUUCUGCUGGCUGUCUUAUUCUCCAUAUAAAUGCUGCAGCAUACACAUGCACACAAACACAAUGAAUAAAAUUGAUGCUUACCAUAUAUUGAGGAAUGAUUAUUAUCUAUCUGGUUACCCAUAGAUAGAAGAAGAUGUGUGUCUGUCUCAUCCUCCCCCCGCCCAACAUAUAUAUAAAGAUACUCUUUUACAGGAGGCUCUGAAGAUUAUACAUGGUUACAGAAGAAGUAAAUUCUGAACCUGUCUUUUUAAAGAUUUAUUUGUUUUAUGCAUGAGUACACUGUAGCUGUUCUUGGACACACCAGAAGAGGGCAUCAGAUCCCAUUUCAGAUGGUUGUGAGCCACCAUGUGGUUGCUGGGGAUUGAACUCAGGACCCUCUGACAGAGCAGUCAGUUCCUGUUCCCUGAGCCAUCUCUCCAGCACCCAAGUCUUUUUUAAUCAGAAGUGUUAAUCUGGUUUUGUUGUUGUUGGGUGGGUUUUUUUUUUGUGUGUGUAAAGGAGAAUUUCAUACAGUCUCUAGAUAUUUCCGAAUAAAAAGAUAGAUAGCAAUUAGUUUAUAUUUUUUGUUGAUUUUGCUUGCUUGUUUUGAGUCUCUGUAUAGCCCUGGCUUACUUGAAACUCGCAGAGAUCUGACUGCUUCCCUUGCAUUCUGGCAUUCUGCAAAUAAAGGAGUGUGCAACCAUGCCCAGCAUAUUUUUAGUUUAGUUUAGGACUAAAUUCUAAGCCUUUGAGUCUCUCUUGCCACACCCACUCCAGUGAAGUCUGCGUGGGAAGUCCAAAAGCUUGGCCACAGUCCUGAGGCAAACAGUUUCACGGAAACUUGUCUCCUGGAGAAUCUCUGGUGCCCUAUAACCAGAUUUGUCCCUGCAAUAGUGUUGAGGGUCUUGCAUGCUUUCUUGCAGUAUUUUACUGGAUAGGAGCUAGAAAUCUCAGGGCUAGUUCAAAAUAGUAAACUUAGAAUUCUCAUUACAGACAUGAGUGGUAGACUAUAUUACAUAAUAGUAGAAAGAAGGUGGGUUGUGGUUUAAGGAGGAACUGGAGUAUUCUUUAUUCAUGAAAGGGUUAGUAGACCGGUCAGUAGACUGGAACUUCCCUGGUUCAUGUUUUUCACUAGGCCCAGAGGAAUAGCAUAAUUAGGUAUUUACUAAGAGACCCUUAGAGGUGGGUUUAACAAUAGACUAGAAUUGCACCUGGACAUAUUAGCCCUUUCACCUGGCUCCCGUGAAUAGCUGACUUUAGAUAGGGCUGAUCUUAUCUCAGUUGUAAACACUGCCUAGAUCCUGCCAGUCUUUACGUAUGCAUUUCUCUGUUUUGUGUUAUUAUGCAUAAAAUAACUUCAAUGUACCUUGGCUGAUGUGUCACCUAGUUUCUUCAUUUUUCUUCUGUAGUAUAAGUCUGAUGCUUGCUUUGAGAAAUUACAUUCAGAUACAGCACUCUCUGUGUGUCAGUGUCUGUUGGUCACUUUUUGCCAACUCCUUGCCCACCUGAGUACCGAGAUCCUGGUUCCCCGCAGGUUGAGAGGCUGACUGAGUCCAGUUCACGGCACUCUCUGAUAUUUUCUACACUAAGGUUAUGUUUGAUUUACUGCUGUAUUCUUCUUAGUAUCUAGUGUAUAGUUUUAUAUAUUUUUUAAAUUAAGAAUGAAUUACCUUCAGUUAACCUUAGCCUCUUUGGAAAUGAGGAGGUAAAAUAUUUUUUCAGUAUCCUGUUCUCUUUUGACAUUUUCAUGCCACUUUCAAGUUGGGGAAAAUGUUAGCAGGUUUCCUUACAUAUGAUGCAUAUUAUUCUAGGCAGGAAGGAUGAGGAAAAAAUUUAUGGAGGUACAUGAGUGAAGCCUGAUCUCAACACGUCCCCCCCCCCCCC